Molecule: ribosomal RNA, 1012 nt
Filed under: uncultured bacterium
Lineage: Bacteria
Description: bacterial SSU rRNA
Rfam family: Bacterial small subunit ribosomal RNA
Source: RNAcentral
ACUCCUACGGGAGGCAGCAGUAGGGAAUCUUCCACAAUGGACGAAAGUCUGAUGGAGCAACGCCGCGUGAGUGAAGAAGGUUUUCGGAUCGUAAAACUCUGUUGUAAGGGAAGAACACGUACGAGAGUAACUGCUCGUACCUUGACGGUACCUUAUUAGAAAGCCACGGCUAACUACGUGCCAGCAGCCGCGGUAAUACGUAGGUGGCAAGCGUUGUCCGGAAUUAUUGGGCGUAAAGCGCGCGCAGGCGGUCCUUUAAGUCUGAUGUGAAAGCCCACGGCUCAACCGUGGAGGGUCAUUGGAAACUGGGGGACUUGAGUACAGAAGAGGAAAGCGGAAUUCCAAGUGUAGCGGUGAAAUGCGUAGAGAUUUGGAGGAACACCAGUGGCGAAGGCGGCUUUCUGGUCUGUAACUGACGCUGAGGCGCGAAAGCGUGGGGAGCAAACAGGAUUAGAUACCCUGGUAGUCCACGCCGUAAAACGAUGAGUGCUAAGUGUUAGGGGGUUUCCGCCCCUUAGUGCUGCAGCUAACGCAUUAAGCACUCCGCCUGGGGAGUACGACCGCAAGGUUGAAACUCAAAGGAAUUGACGGGGGCCCGCACAAGCGGUGGAGCAUGUGGUUUAAUUUGAAGCAACGCGAAGAACCUUACCAGGUCUUGACAUCCAACUGACCGGCUUAGAGAUAAGUUUUUCCCUUCGGGGACAGUGGUGACAGGUGGUGCAUGGUUGUCGUCAGCUCGUGUCGUGAGAUGUUGGGUUAAGUCCCGCAACGAGCGCAACCCUUGAUCUUAGUUGCCAGCAUUUAGUUGGGCACUCUAAGGUGACUGCCGGUGAUAAACCGGAGGAAGGUGGGGAUGACGUCAAAUCAUCAUGCCCCUUAUGACCUGGGCUACACACGUGCUACAAUGGACGAUACAAAGGGCUGCAAACCCGCGAGGGGGAGCCAAUCCCAGAAAAUCGUUCUCAGUUCGGAUUGUAGGCUGCAACUCGCCUACAUGAAGCCGAAAUCGCUA